UUUAUUUUUCACAUUUUGCGUAUGUUACACGAUGUUAUAAAAUGUUAUCGUGACACAAUGUUUUAUAACGUUAUA
Molecule: long non-coding RNA, 75 nt
Organism: Aricia agestis (brown argus)
Lineage: Eukaryota; Metazoa; Arthropoda; Insecta; Lepidoptera; Lycaenidae
Exons: 3
Source: RefSeq, a predicted model, not a curated record